UAUAAUAGUACAAGUUCGACAUAAUCACAUAAAAAAAUUGCAUCACAGAUAGGAACUAAUACAAGAUAAUAGAUAAUUUGCAUCAUAAAAAUAAGAACCUGUCGACACACAUAUUACAACACUAACACAAUCAUGAUGAUUCUGGACAUGUGGAAGAUGGGAACUCUUCUAGACCAUAAACUCAUAAAUUACACAGCCAAAUUACCAAAACAAAAGAAAAUCUGGAGCAUCAAUUUGAGUAUUCAACACUGAAUCACUGAUACAGGAUUAGAAUAGGCGGAUGAGAAUUCGUUGGUUGAAGCGGGAAGAAUUUGACAAGUGCAGCAGCCAAAUACCUGAAUAUGUGAAGUGAAUCAGAUAGGCUGAUCGCGAAUUCGAGAGCAGCAGCCAGCAUGCCUAGAUCCUGGGAGCAGCCAAG
This 418-nucleotide long non-coding RNA is filed under the name Triticum aestivum (bread wheat). RNAcentral describes it as "long non-coding RNA (TAES_LNC002728)". Lineage: Eukaryota; Viridiplantae; Streptophyta; Magnoliopsida; Poales; Poaceae. The record is from RNAcentral.